Molecule: ribosomal RNA, 478 nt
Filed under: uncultured bacterium
Lineage: Bacteria
Description: partial 16S ribosomal RNA
Rfam family: Bacterial small subunit ribosomal RNA
Source: RNAcentral
GACGAACGCUGGCGGCGUGCUUAACACAUGCAAGUCGAACGGUAAGGCCCUUCGGGGUACACGAGUGGCGAACGGGUGAGUAACACGUGGGUGAUCUGCCCUGCACUUCGGGAUAAGCCUGGGAAACUGGGUCUAAUACCGGAUAGGACUCCGGACUGCAUGGUCUGGGGUGGAAAGCCUUUGCGGUGUGGGAUGGGCCCGGGGCCUAUCAGCUUGUUGGUGGGGUGAUGGCCUACCAAGGCGACGACGGGUAGCCGGCCGGGGAGGGGGACCGGCCACACUGGGACUGAGAUACGGCCCAGACUCCUACGGGAGGCAGCAGUGGGGAAUAUUGCACAAUGGGCGCAAGCCUGAUGCAGCGACGCCGCGUGAGGGAUGACGGCCUUCGGGUUGUAAACCUCUUUCAGCAUCGACGAAGCGAAAGUGACGGUAGGUGCAGAAGAAGGACCGGCCAACUACGUGCCAGCCGCCGCAGUAA